CCAGACUCCUACGGGAGGCAGCAGUGAGGAAUAUUGGUCAAUGGGCGGAAGCCUGAACCAGCCAAGUCGCGUGAGGGAUUAAGGCCCUAUGGGUCGUAAACCUCUUUUGUCAGGGAGCAAUGGCGUCCACGUGUGGGCGUAUGGAGAGUACCUGAAGAAAAAGCAUCGGCUAACUCCGUGCCAGCAGCCGCGGUAAUACGGAGGAUGCGAGCGUUAUCCGGAUUUAUUGGGUUUAAAGGGUGCGUAGGCGGGACCUUAAGUCAGCGGUAAAAUUGCGGUGCUCAACGCCGUAGAGCCGUUGAAACUGGGGUUCUUGAGUGAGCGAGAAGUAUGCGGAAUGCGUGGUGUAGCGGUGAAAUGCAUAGAUAUCACGCAGAACCCCGAUUGCGAAGGCAGCAUACCGGCGCUCAACUGACGCUGAGGCACGAAAGUGCGGGUAUCGAACAGGAUUAGAUACCCUAGUA
Molecule: ribosomal RNA, 464 nt
Filed under: uncultured bacterium
Lineage: Bacteria
Description: bacterial SSU rRNA
Rfam family: Bacterial small subunit ribosomal RNA
Source: RNAcentral